This is a long non-coding RNA of Cyprinus carpio (common carp), 337 nucleotides long. RefSeq lists it as uncharacterized. The record is from RefSeq and is a predicted model, not a curated record. NCBI's taxonomy places the organism in Eukaryota, Metazoa, Chordata, Actinopteri, Cypriniformes, Cyprinidae.
GCCUGUUAGAAGCUGUGCCAGGCCAGGUUCCUGAGCACCAGUGCCAGCCUUGCCCAGAGAGGCCCUCUCCGAGUGUGGCACAGGAAUAGUGACAGCACCCAUUGACUUGCCUUUUGUGAAUCCAAGGAUCACCACUGAUCCAGCUAUAAAUCUUUAACCUAAUCUUUAAUGUUCUACUGAAGAAAGAAAUUCAUUAAAUCUUGGAUGUCCUUGAGGUGCCUGUGUGAGAGGGAGGGUUGAUUCUGUGAAGGAACCUGCCAACUACCACAUUUUGCUGACCAUCUGGCAAGAAGCAGUUACGCACCUGUUAGGAGCAGCUGCAGGAGACAGGAGCUAG